UACGGAGGGGGCGAGCGUUAUUCGGAAUUAUUGGGCGUAAAGGGCGCGUAGGCGGCUGAACAAGUCAAAGGUGAAAUCCCUCGGCUCAACUGAGGAACUGCCUUUGAAACUGUUCGGCUUGAGGCCGGGAGGGGGUAGCGGAAUUCCCAGUGUAGCGGUGAAAUGCGUAGAUAUUGGGAGGAACACCAGUGGCGAAGGCGGCUACCUGGACCGGUUCUGACGCUGAGGAGCGAAAGCGUGGGUAGCAAACAGG
This 253-nucleotide ribosomal RNA is filed under the name uncultured bacterium. RNAcentral's name for it is "partial 16S ribosomal RNA". It matches the Rfam family "Bacterial small subunit ribosomal RNA", at positions 524 to 776 of the family's 1533-position model. The record is from RNAcentral.